This is a long non-coding RNA of Fukomys damarensis (Damara mole-rat), 391 nucleotides long. RefSeq lists it as uncharacterized. The record is from RefSeq and is a predicted model, not a curated record. The transcript has 3 exons. Lineage: Eukaryota; Metazoa; Chordata; Mammalia; Rodentia; Bathyergidae.
GUCAGGCCCGAGGAGCAGGGACAGCUGCACUUCCGUGGCGCGGCUCCGACGUCCCUGGUUCCUCGCAGAGUGCCUGACACACAGCGGUGGCUAAGAAAUUUUGCUGAAAGGACUUAGGACCAGAUGUGAGGCGCUGCUUCUGGUGACCGCUAGAGAGAGCUGAACGGCAGGGAUCAGCAUGGCCUUUGAAGCACGGCCUUCUCAACCAAUUUCUUUGGGAUCUGGGGCUGCUUUCUUCACCUAUGAAACAAGAAGUUUGGAGUAUGUUGGAAGUCAAUCACCUAAACUCAAGUCUCAGUUUAUGUCACUGAUGAGCUAUGUAAUCCCAUAGCAUUCUCUUCUAGUCUCUAGGUCUCAGUUUUUCCACUUUAAUAAAAUGCAGAAUAUGGAC